This 467-nucleotide ribosomal RNA is filed under the name uncultured bacterium. RNAcentral describes it as "partial 16S ribosomal RNA". It matches the Rfam family "Bacterial small subunit ribosomal RNA", at positions 28 to 507 of the family's 1533-position model. The record is from RNAcentral.
GACGAACGCUGGCGGCGUGCUUAACACAUGCAAGUCGAACGGAAAGGCCUCUUUCGGGGGGUACUCGAGUGGCGAACGGGUGAGUAACACGUGAGUAACCUGCCCUUGACUUUGGGAUAACUUCAGGAAACUGGGGCUAAUACCGGAUAGGAGCUCCUGCUGCAUGGUGGGGGUUGGAAAGUUUCGGCGGUUGGGGUUGGACUCGCGGCUUAUCAGCUUGUUGGUGGGGUAGUGACUUACCAAGGCUUUGACGGGUAGCCGGCCUGAGAGGGUGACCGGCCACAUUGGGACUGAGAUACGGCCCAGACUCCUACGGGAGGCAGCAGUGGGGAAUAUUGCACAAUGGGUGGAAGCCUGAUGCAGCAACGCCGUGUGCGGGAUGACGGCCUUCGGGUUGGAAACCGCUUUCGCUCAUGACGAAGCUUUGUGUGACGGUAGUGGGUAAAGAAGCACCGGCUAACUACGUG